AUGUGUAAAGAUUGAGUUUAUAUGUUGAACAAUGAAAAUACACCAACAAUGUUUAUGGCAAGUGAACAUAAGACUGGGGGCAAAGUUUCUCAUAUUUUUUAAACAUUUUGUUUUUACACAGUACAGUUCAGUCCAUGCAGCGCCCUUACAAUCUGUCAAACCUUACACCCUCAACAAGCUAGUCAGGCAGUGCAGUGUCAUCCAGCCGUGAAGCCAUUUGGCGGCGAGGAGAAGGAGUGGGCCAGCUGAAGGCUAACCCCAGGAGCCCCCUUAACCCACGGUGGUUGAGAGCCCAGUCAAUCAGACGCAAUGAUGUUAAACUCCUCUCCAAUGAAUACCCUUCACCAGUCAUCACAGAGAUUGUCUGUGUCUGGCGGCUGAUUAGGAGUUCAUCUCAAAUCAGAGAACAUGAAAUAUAUGCUGAAGAAAAGAAAUACGACCCCACUCUUUUUCUUCUCCUCAGUUGCUUCCUUUCUUUCUCUGUAUGUCUCCCUCAGUUCUCAUCUCGAAUUUCCCCUACCACUUUAUUGCUUCUUUCCCCUCCUACACUCCGCUUGCCACAUACUAUAUGUGAGAUAAAAGGUGAAUUCUAGAAAACCCUCUUUCUGACUCGGAUUGCUCCCGUCUUUAUACUCCUCUCGGUGUUUGGAGUGUGGACAAGGUGGGGUAGAAGAGAGAGAGUGAAGAGAAGAACAAACAGCCGACUGUGACAGUGAAAGCAGACGGUCAGACUCUGGCACCAGUACAGGAUUUAUGCUUUGUUGUGUAGUUUGGGCGCUUAGGGACCAAGCAUGCAAGACACUGUUGGAUAC
This is a long non-coding RNA of Micropterus dolomieu (smallmouth bass), 812 nucleotides long. RefSeq lists it as uncharacterized. The transcript has 4 exons. The record is from RefSeq and is a predicted model, not a curated record. NCBI's taxonomy places the organism in Eukaryota, Metazoa, Chordata, Actinopteri, Centrarchiformes, Centrarchidae.